CGUUUGCUGCCUUAUAAGCCACGCCCCCUUUCCAGAAUGUUCUCUAGAGCUCUACCCUCGUGCUUCUCACGCGGGCUUCUCAUUCUGCGGGAAGAUUCUCCCGGGGCAGGAGGUCUCUGACCAAUCUGCCACCUAUUGCUUUGUUCUUUUCUGUGGCGUUGGCAAUGGAACUCAGUGCCUCAGUGGGCUAGGUCUCUGAGGGAAAGAGAAGAAAGCUGUCUUAGGCGCCACAGACGUUAGGAACCAGAAGAGCUGAACCGAUACCAAAACGGCAAGUAGAUAAGGAAGUGUCCCUCCCGCC
RNAcentral lists this long non-coding RNA (301 nucleotides) under Cricetulus griseus (Chinese hamster). RNAcentral describes it as "lncRNA (ENSCGRG00000026206.1)". The record is from RNAcentral. Lineage: Eukaryota; Metazoa; Chordata; Mammalia; Rodentia; Cricetidae.